UGGGCCAUCAAAGGUGGUUGUAUAAGAUAGGAUUGUGCAAGUGGGCUUUGGGGACUAAAUCCACUUUCUUGAAUGGUAAGGCCCAUUGCCAUUGUUUCUAAGAAUCAGGCCCCCAAAAAAAAAACACCCCUCCUCUUUCACACACUAAAAAUCACCACAGAUGAGAGAGAGAGAGAGAGAGAGAGAAAAAGAGAAAGAGAGAGGGAGAGAAAGCAGGCAGAGGAGAGCUGGCCAGGGCUGCAUGCGGCGACCUCGACAGUGCAGCUGCGGCGUUAGUGGAGUCGGUGCUUCGUGUCCUACGACUGCGUGGUGUGACGUCGUGUCAAGGCUGCGGAACCAAGCCAAGAAAGGCUACAGUCAUCGCCGGUGCAGAACUUGCGGUAAAAGCUAUGGUUUUGAUUGCGCUAUUCAUGUCAAGGGCACACGGGCUCCGACCGUUAUGAGGCGAGAGCGUCAGCUCAUGGUGGCCGCCACUCCGGGAGUAGGCUCUUUCAAGGUCCACUUCCGGUGCUAAGAAACCUAGGCUCAUCACUUCACAAACUGCUACAACAUCUCAUGCUUCCAUGGGAUCCAAUACCUCCAUACACCCAUCAUUAACAGAGACCAAUUACUUCCUAUAGUCCCUCAUGCCCAAUGGAUUUGAAAUUCUGACCAUGCACCAUUCAUGAGCAGAGAAAAGAAAGCACAAACAGAGCACAACUAUGGAAAACCCAUAGGCUUUUGAACCAAAUCCAGCUUCAUAUAUUAAUCCAAGGAUCCGGAGUAGGAGGAAGAGACAUGGGGUAAUAAUAUGAUUAAUGAAAGACUGGGCAAACCAAUAUGUACAGAAGCUAUCUAUCAGACAAAUCAAUGCAACUCAAUAUAUAAUGAAAUCGAAUGACAAUGCUCAGGUGGCAAGAUCAGAGAUGAUUAAAACCCGUGACUGUGAGGAAGAAUGCAUGAGGAAGGCACCAAGGACUCAUACCUGAGACGCUCUUCAAAACGUUCCUCCCCCCAAGCUUCAGCUGAUACCGUCUCCCUCCUCUUUUCCCCUGGUU
RNAcentral lists this long non-coding RNA (1037 nucleotides) under Vitis vinifera (wine grape). Its description in RNAcentral is "long non-coding RNA (VVIN_LNC000349)". The record is from RNAcentral. Lineage: Eukaryota; Viridiplantae; Streptophyta; Magnoliopsida; Vitales; Vitaceae.